Molecule: ribosomal RNA, 548 nt
Filed under: Blumeria hordei
Lineage: Eukaryota; Fungi; Ascomycota; Leotiomycetes; Helotiales; Erysiphaceae
Description: partial large subunit ribosomal RNA
Rfam family: Eukaryotic large subunit ribosomal RNA
Source: RNAcentral
CAAUAAGCGGAGGAAAAGAAACCAACAGGGAUUACCUCAGUAACGGCGAGUGAAGCGGUAACAGCUCAAAUUUGAAAUCUGGUCCGGUUACGGGCCCGAGUUGUAAUUUGUAGAAGAUGCUUUGGUAAUGAGUCCGGCCUAAGUUCCUUGGAACAGGACGUCAUAGAGGGUGAGAACCCCGUAUGCGGCCGAGUACUCAGUGCCAUGUAAAGCUCUUUCGACGAGUCGAGUUGUUUGGGAAUGCAGCUCAAAAUGGGUGGUAAAUUUCAUCUAAAGCUAAAUAUUGGCCAGAGACCGAUAGCGCACAAGUAGAGUGAUCGAAAGAUGAAAAGCACUUUGGAAAGAGAGUUAAACAGUACGUGAAAUUGUUGAAAGGGAAGCGCUUGCAACCAGACUUGGGCACUGUGGAUCAUCCGAGGUUCUCCUCGGUGCACUCGGCAGUGCGCAGGCCAGCAUCAGUUUGGGUGGUUGGAUAAAGACUUGUGGAAUGUAGCUCCUUUCGGGGAGUGUUAUAGCCACAGGUGCCAUGCGACCAACCCGGACUGAGG